This is a non-coding RNA of Pantherophis guttatus, 11251 nucleotides long. NCBI's taxonomy places the organism in Eukaryota, Metazoa, Chordata, Lepidosauria, Squamata, Colubridae. The record is from RefSeq and is a predicted model, not a curated record.
CUGCCAGAAACUCCUCUCUUGGCUAUGAAUCAAGGGAAAAAAAGAGAAUUUAGUCUCAGUAGAAUUUUUCAAAAUCUUUAGCUAACAAACACAGUGCGAAUGGAGAAACACCUCUGCUUUCUGAAGAGAGAACCUGGGAGAUUCUGUUCCUUCAGGGCAAAGAGAAAAGGGGGAGGAUAGUUCUCAGGAUAGCAUUGCUGUGUUGUAUUUUUGGCUCCUAAUAUUCUCUGUUGAAGCAUAGGUACUUGGCGACAAGAUUAAUAUAUGUUGUUCUAGCUCUGCCACUUCAGUGAAUCUAAAAAGAAAGAGCUUGAAUAUCUUUGAUCUGCCUGCAGAAGCAGCUAAAAGAAAGCCAAAAAGAUAUACAUGAUAUUAACAAAAGAAUCUACCGAAGUUGGCACAUAUCAUUGCCUUCAGUGCUGGAAGGCAAUUUGUUGUUAUAGUAAUAAUUUCCAGAAUGUAAUAAACAUCCAAGCUUCGGAAAAUUGAACAGGAGACAUUUACUGAGGGAAGUUGGGGUAAUUAGUUGUUAAAUGAAAACAAAACGAGAGUCAACAUUUUUUAUUAAAAUAAAAGCAUAGCCCAUCAUGGUAUGGAAACUAUAUUUGAUGUUAUUUCUUUUCUACUCGCAUUCCAAAUCCCUGCUCAAGAGGAUUAAUUCAGUUUAUACACGUUAAGCCCUAAUAUGGGUUUAUUUUGGCUUAUGAUACUAUAUAUUAUGAAAAUCCAGCCAGUAGCUAUCCACUUGCAAACCAGAGUGAUUCGUUAUGUUAUGGGAAAUGAGCCAAUGGUGGUUUCCUUAAACCGCAGAUUAAACCACUAUAUAUGAACUUGGUCAUAAAAAGCAAUUGUAGACUCUGCUCUUAUAACAUAAUGCUGGUCAUAACCUGUGCAUCUAAAUUCCCUCUGGUAAAUUUGCUAAGAUCCUUUUCUGCUGCGUCCAGUUUUGUAAUGUUCCCCAAGAAUAAUUUGUUACACUGCAAAUAAAUACAUUGAAUAAAUAAAUUUGGUGCCUUUUUGCAAACUUGAGGCUUUCCUUGAUCUAUAAUCUAACUUAGUAUUGUCUGCUGCAACAGCUGCUGCUCAUGCAGAACCUCUCUAAGUGCAUCUGUUCAGACUCUUUAAACUCAAGAGUGUCCAGGGUGGGGGAUUCCACAUACAAUAUGUAUGCUGUACUAUUGGGCUCUGACCAUUCUGCCUGUGAGAUCCAAGGUGCUGUUGCUCAUUAUUUUUCUGGCAGUUUCAUGAUGUUUCAGGGCAAGUGAUUUCAGAGCAGCCCCCCCCAGCCAAGCCCCCACUGGUAUUUUUAAGACCAGACAUAUGCACAUAAAUUUUAUAUUAUAAAGCUUCUCAGCAUUGGAACGAGGCAUGAAGUCUCUGCUGUAAAAGAUUGAUUAGAUGCAGAAACCAGGCAGCAUUGCUGCCAACCACUUUGUUGCUCUUUAAAUGGAACCAUUUUUACCCUGUCAUUCCUUUUUCAGCAGAUGUCAUCCUAAAUGUUUUCUCAUCAAUAUGUCUGGAUCUGAGUGCAAGCGAGCGUAUUCCAGUAGUUCUGCCUUCUCUCUCCUGUGAAAUGAUGUAGCUACCUACAUCUCCUUCCACUGGAUGUUAAAAGGGCCAGGCCACCCAUUAGCAGUGAGCCAUCCUGAGGAUGAUCAUCUUAGAGAUGUGGUGCUAUGGCAUCCAACAGACUCACUGAGAGGGUUUAUUUAUAAUAAAGACAAACUGCAUAAGAGCAACACAGAAAAAGUAGAACGAUUUUGAUGGUAGCCUGAAGAAUCCAUCUAUUAAUCAAUGGUUCUCAGGAUUAUGAUUCUCCACUAUGGAUGUUCCUAAAGAUUUGCAGGAAAGGGUCAAGGGUGAAACAGCUGGAAGCUAAUGGAUUAUAUAGUGCUUAUUUGAUAGGGGGCAGUAUUUAGUCCAGAUGUUCCUCUUCAUGUGUAGAUUCAUAACAACUCAAUAAACCAAUUCCUACGGUACAGCUCAGACAUAAUAUAUAAUAAGUGGCAUAAUACAAGCCCCCAUUCUCCUUCUCUAUCAACACAUUGACUCUUGUAAGAUCAUAGAAUAUGCUCUAAUGUCAAUUUAUAUCUUGGGAUUUAGACAUUCUUUACAAGGCAGAAACUAACGUGGCAGAGAACAAAGCCAAGUGAACGGAGAAUCUGCAGCUGUGGCAGGAGUUCAGUUGUCAACAUCAGUUGCCCAUUUUGUUAAAGCUUUGGGAUUGUCCUGUUACCUAUGUAAAACUCCAGGACAUUUUGUUUGUGUAUUAAGGUUUUUCUUAAAUGCUAUUUAUGUGAGCCAUUCAUUCUUUAGUAGGCUGUAUUGUGACUUCACAUACAUAACAUCUAGAGUUGCCCAGGAUUCAGAGAUUUGCAUGAUCGUACAUGUCAUAACCGGGUGCAUAGCUGCUUCAUAGAACCUCUGAUUGUGGAACGAAGCUCAGAAGGAAAACUCUGCAGUAACAUAAGAGCCAUUGGUCACUAACCUCAAGACUAAGAAACUCAAGACAGAAUGUCUAUUAAUUUGUGGAACAGGCCGGGUAAUGAAGUGCCAAAAUGAAACAACUCCAGAUUCAACAGGAUAUUUAGGUUGGUGUUAGGGAAUUCUUCCUUAAUAUAGUGAGAAGUCAUUUUUGCCUGUCCAGCAACAGAAAACAUCACAAGGAUCAGACACCAAAACUAUCUCAAGCCCACUUGAGAACCAAUGACCCAUAUGAACUAAAGCAAUUGGAAAACCAAUUUCAAUUUCUCGGAAUGGAUUUGGAAUUCCAGAAGGGGAAAAAUAUUUUAAAGUGGAAAUGGAGAGAGAGGAGAAGAGAAUUGGAGUAUGAGAAACAAUUUCGAAGUUUGGAACUGGAGAGAAUGAUGGAAUGAUGCUUAUCAGUUAGGAACUGAGAGGUAAACAGAGGAACAUCAAUCCAACAUUUCCCGCUGCUCCUAAGGAAAACUGGCAAGUUUCCAAGGUGAAAUUAAAGCAGCUGAAGAAAGGAAGCCUGCUGUACAAGAGUAAAAAUAGAUCCGGCAGUUACUCAGCUCCUGAGAACAUGAUGGUAUGACUCACGAGGUAAAAUAAAGAGAUGUGAAAAUCAAAAGCUGUUGCAUUCCCCCCAAGCAUUACACACAUAUCCCCCCUCAUUUUUCCUCCUACCUGGAGAAGUUUGUGGCACCUGAAGUCUAAAAAAACCCAAAGGAAAACAAAUUGUUGAAGUUCCAGGUAAAAGCAACUGGGUUGGAAACCCUAAAAUCAGGGGUGAAAUCCAGCAGGUUCUGACAGGUUCUGGAGAAUCAGUAGUGGAAAUUUUGAGCACUUCGGAGAACCGGUAGCGGAAAUUUUGAGUAGUUCGGAAAACCGGUAAAUACCACCUCUGGCUGGCCCCAGAGUGGGAUGGGAAUGGAGAUUUUGCAGUAUCCUUCCCCUGCCACACCCACUAAGCCACACCAUGCCCACCAAGCCACGCCCACAGAACCGGUAGUAAAAACAUUUGGAUUUCACCACUGCCUAAAAUCCAUCUACCAUAUAUUUCUAUACUCCGCUUUCCUGCAAAUUCCAUGGUGUCUUGGAGGAAAUCAUGGAUGAAAGGAUUCAUUUACUUUUGUUACAGGGUCCUUUGUAAUUAAACCAAUGGUUGUUAGGAUGGGCACUUACUGGGCCCACUUACCUGUCCCUGUAUAUUUUGUCUUGGAAAUGUAGAAGAUUAUAUGCCUUACUUCCAAUUCAUGGAGGUUUUAUGCCUUUGUUUGUCAAACUCGGCAACUUUAAGAUGGAUAGAUUCCCAGAAUUCUCCUGCCAGCAUGCCAAAUUUGAAAAACAGUUUUACAUUGUUUAAUUGUAUGUUUCAGAGGACUGAAGCAGUAGAAACAUCCUUUUAUAUUCACACAAAACUGCUGCACUCUGGAUCACAAUUAUAGUACCUUUUAAAAAUAAGUAACUAUGACUAAUAACUAACAUGAAAAUAAGUUUGCAAAUUUGCAGGACAUAUUUUACCAUCUCAAAGUCAUAUGUACCUGGAGAGCUUCAUAUUAUUAAUGUAGUUUUCCUUUUUUUUUUUUUAGUUUUAAAAACAAACUUUAAUAAGUUUAAAAAUUUGAAAACACAAAAAUAUACAAAUUUUUCUCAAUCAUAAAAUUACAUAUACAAUACACAACCCCACAAACAAACUAAAUAUAUGUAAUUGUAUGUACGACAUAUAUAAAUAGUUUUCCUAAUGUGGUGCCCUCUAUGUGAAUUGAAUACAGUUCUAUAACAGGCAACCUGGUGCAUGGGUCUCCUCCUCUUCCCCCUCCCCGGAUUGUUUUCUUUUGGUAUGGGCACUGAUUAAAGGUCUGAACCUUUUGAUUAUUCUAUAAACUAAGCCAUAACUUAUCUAAUGAUAAUGUAUUGAAUUAAACUUGGUAGAAGACACUAAGUCAUAAUUCCUAUUUUACAAACUGCAUCGCCAUCAUAUAUCAAAAUACUAUAUUUCAGAUGCCUCUGUGAACCUAACUAUUAUUAUAUGCUGGUUACAUUUUUGUCCUUUUCUGAUGUUUUCUCUCUCCAUGCACCUUCUUCCAGAGGUCUUGCACUACAAAACUUCCCAGCCCAUAUAAGUUUGCAACCCAUGCAAAUAAGGAUUACAGUACACAGUUGUCACGUUUUUACUUUUUGCAUUUUCUUUUCUUUCUUGACUUCAGAAAUCCACCUUAUUUUUUGAAACACUUUUAGAAACUUGAAGAUUUGCAACCCCUUUCAUAAACGUAUCUCAACUUCCCUUAAUAGAGCCUGUAGUACAGUGGACUAAAGCACUGUAAUUAACAUCUGCUGCUUGCAAUUACUGCAAGUUCAAAUCUCACCAGGCUCAAGGUUGACUCAGCCUUCCAUCCUUUCAAAGGUAGGUAAAAUGAGGACCCAGAUUGUGGGGGCAAUAAGCUGACUUUGUAUCAAUAUUCAAAAGUAUGAAGGCUAUUGCUUAACGCAUUGUAAGCCGCCCUGAGUCUCCGGAGAAGGGCGGCAUAUAAAUUAAAGCAAAAAAAAAAAAAGGCAUUUGCAUUAAUUAGGAAUUUGGAUUUAUUUUCCCCCUGUAUGACUAAUAGAGAUAAUUCUGCUAAUAGACUAAUAGAGAAAUCCUGUCUCCCAUACAUUCAGCCCUUAAUCUUCCUUGUGAGAAGCAAAGUAGCCUUUUUGAGAUAUAGUCAUCUUUCAGUAAGUUCAUCAUUCCAGAGUCAUUUUCACACCAUCCUCAAUUACACAAAUGAAAUACCUCUGCUGAGAGUAACAAUACUGAACUUUGUCUGUAAAUCCAGUGAGGAUUCCAUCUAUCCCUAUAUAUUCUGUGUACAUUCGGUUGAUCCUUUGUAUCUUUCAAGUGAUCUAAUCAUCACUUAACAUUUUUUCUUUGGUGAGUCUGGCACUAUUUUUUGUAGCUGAAGAAAUGAGAUCCAAUUUGUUCUUCUGAUAUUACAGCUAAAAUGUAAGCUGGUAAAGAGACAACUUUUCUACCUUCUGCUCCACCUGAAUCCUUUUUAGCCAUUUUGAGAACAAUAGCCCAACGCAUUCAGCACUUCCAAGUAGAUCAUCUGCUCAAACAAACUGCCCCAAAUGCACAUCCAUCCCAUUGGAGUGGGCUAGCAUGUCUUACCUCUCCCUCCCUGGCUCCCUGGGCCCAGACAAAGUGGCAUCUCUGCAAACAAAGACUUUCAAUAGCUGUCCUGCCCUCUGCCCUCUCCCAAACAAUGCAAAGUUACAGAAUAUUGUCCACAGCUGAGUAAAAAGCCCUAAAUAUAGAACCUCUGAUGUAUUCUUGGUUUCCUGCCUGUCGGGCGUCCAUCUCCCCCCCACUUUGCUAUUGGCUAUACUGUCACUAAUCUCACACACUCACAACUAACACAAAGGGAGUGAGAUCACCAAGACCACCUCCUCUCCACCUUAGAGACAUAGGGGAUUUCCAAAGUUUUGCCCUUGCUUUUAAGCCAGAAUUGGAGUGGGAAUAAAUGUCACCGGGCACAAGUACUGCAUGCAAGGCAAGCUCUCUCUCAAACAGGGAGCCUUUCACUCCUCUUCCUCUGCACCCGUGUUUAAUUCUGGACCACCCACAUAGUCCUGCCACGUGGCCUUUAAGGUCUGUGCUGGAUCUCUGCUCCAUUCUGUCAAGCCACGUUUGCUUUUUUUCCCCCUUCCUGUUAUUGUACUCAAGUUGACAUUGACAAAUCUGUCAUACCAAUUUGAACUUUCCUCUACUACAGUGGGGCAUGCAGGUAAUAAUAUCAAGGAAUAAUCAUUUCACCCAUAGCUCUAAUCCCUAAGGCUACUAUAUACAGGCAAAAGUAAACUCGGUAUCGGGAUCACACGUCACACUAAGCCAGAAAGUGUUUUGUUUAGUUUUGAGGUAGUAUAGAUGAGUCCAACCAUUGACUUGAUGCUCAGCAUGUGCCAACUGUCAUUCGUUCAACAAAUUGUUAUUUUGGAAAAAAAAAUGACAUUGUUUAAAGUGAAAAUUCAGUUUAUGAGUAUAAUUUCUUAUUUACUUGGCAAUAGGCUGAGAGUGCCCCAAAGACGUCUCUGUAGAGAGAUUAGAAAAUAACCUGCUAAUGGAUAUCUCUAGUUUGAAACAGCAGAAAAUAUUCCCUAAAGACGGUCUGAAAAAUUCAUCAUAUGUUGAAAAACCCAAAUAGAAGGAAUUCAGUUUUUGUUGUUUCUCUGCCUCUGUUUUUGUUAGGUGAUUUUAUUUGAACAAAAGCACAAGUGAAAAAUCAGACCACACCUUUAUAAUUACCGUAAUUACAACAAAGGUUGUUACAAAGAUGGAUUUAGCCCUACACAAUUUAUUAUUUGCUGGGUUGACUCAGGACUUCAGAGAUGAGCAUUCUACUUCAUUGGGAAGUCAGUUUCCCAAAGAUGUUUGGGAAAGAUGGCUUUCAUUUAAAUCGGACACACCCCUUUUGUAAAACUGAGAAUAAUUACUUAAAAGAGCGGUGGGCCUACCUACAAAUAUCCAACAGGAGGUCCACAUGGCAUCUUUCUAAUUACUCUCUCUUUAAUGAAGCUGUGUCUGUUCCCUGUCCAUCGCCUUUUCCCCGAUGCUGGUUUCGGAAGAAAAUUCUCAUUACAAUAUUUCCCACAUGCAAGGCUGCAUGUUUACAGAAUUGGCAUAGGAUUGAUCCAAGAUUGUUAGAUUCUGCAUUUCAGGGCUGAAGGGAGUUCUGCUAAGGUUUAAGGUUGGCUAUGGAACCUACAGUGGUUGCCGCUGAAUAAAGAAAACAGCAUUAUGACAUAAGAAGACAAUCUCCGCCCCUUUGAGGUAUGCAUGCAACAUUGCAGUGCAGGUAAAAAAAAGGGCACAGCCUGCAUGUGAUGAUGCUGCAAUGCUCCCGAUAUCAGGCUGCCGGCCUUGUCUCUUCUCUUGCCACAGAUGCUGCUGUGUCUAUGUAAAUUUAAUUGAGACGGUUGAGAGAAAUGCUGCUUUAAUGGAAGAGGGGGACUUUAGGGAUAUGUCUAUCUCUCUCUAUAUAUAUCUACAUACUAAUGAACUUCUGAAAUAUGUACAUUCGCACACACAUGCACACACAGAGUAUGUAUAUGCAUCAUACAUACAGUAAUAUAUAUGUGUGUGUAUGUAUAUGUAUGUAUGUAUAUGUGUAUAUACAUAUAUUCUGAGUUCAUAGGUUCUGUGUAUGCAGUGGGAUGCAGACUUGUGCAUAUUACAUGGGUAAUUGCAUAGGUAAUUCUGUGCUCUUGGUGGCUGAACAUGACCCCCACUGAUAAUUAUAUUGCCAAGUCAGUAAAUUAUUCAGAGCGUCGUAUGUACCAUUGAGCGUGACUGCAUCCAUGAUGCAGAUCACUUUCUAUGGAUCAAGGGUAAUAAUGCAUGAGAAUGCUGGAAUUGAGGUAUCAGUAUGUGAACCAAGUGCUAGAACAUUAGAGCUAUUUGCAAUUUUGUCCAUAUUGCUUGUGGAAUUCAUUUACAGAUCAUUGAAAGAUGACUCUUUACAUAUCUAAAAUAAUCAUCCAAGCCAUGGCUACAAAGUAAACAUGUUUCAAAGCACUGUUGUUCAUGGGAGUGUUAAAUCAAUACUUCAUUGACAAAUGUACCACCAAUAUUUUGCAGUUACAGAGGAAAAGACUUUGAUGGAAAGGACUUAGUCUGUAGUACUCCCCAUCUUCUUUAUCGUGACAGUUUUUCUGGUGACGAAAAAUGGAUAGAAAAUUUGUAUGGCUGGAGGCAGGGGUGAAAUCCAGCAGGUUCUAACAGGUUCUGGAGAACCGGUAGAGGAAAUUUUGAGUAGUUUGGAGAACCGGCAAAUACUACCUCUGGCUGGCCCCAGAGUGGGAUGGGAAUGGAGAUUUUGCAAUACCCUUCCCCUGCCAAGCCCACCACGCCCACAGAACCAGUAGGGAAAAUUUUUUUAUUUCACCCCUGGCUGGAGGGUAUUACUUUAAAAGGGGUGCUUUGGAAAGCAUGUGAGUGAAGCACGCCUCCUUGAAGCAUACUGUACAUGCAUAGACAGUAGUCCUGGAACCGGCUAAGACACUGAGAUUGUUGAUCAGAAAGGUUGGCAGUUCAGCGGUUCAAAUCCCUAGUACAGGUCUCAUGUGUGAGCAGGGGGUUGGACUAGAUGACCUCCAAGGUCCCUUCCAACUCAUUGUUACUGUUACAGUAAUGAAACAAAGUGCCUAUAUGUGCAAUAAAUAGGGAAACCUUUGAAAUAGUAGCUCUGGGUUUUCCAGAAGAUAAGGCUGCUUUAAUGUUUGAAGGUAGGGGGGCGGGAUGCUUUGCUCAUGCUACCAUUGCAGCAUCCCAUGGUCAUGUGAUCAGACUUCCAGGGCUUGACAACUGAUAUGUAUUGACAACAGUUACAGCAUCCAAGGGUCAUGCGAUCACCAUCUGCAACCUUCCCAGCCGUUUUCUGAUCAGCAAAACCAAAAGGGGGGAAACCAAAUUUGCUUAACGGCCGAUAUUGAUUUGGAUAACAACCAUGGCAAAAAAAUAUAUGGUUGUAAAAUCAGGCAUAUAACUCACUUAACAAAGUUUGCUUUGUUGGAAAUUCUGAUCCCAUUGUGGUCAAAAAAGGAAGACGACCUGUAAAGCAAAUCAUUUACUAAAAUAACUGAGUAAUUCAUAGCCCCGGGAUUGCAUUAGGCCAGGGGUCUCCAACCUUGGCAACUUUAAGCCUGUUGGACUUCAACUCCCAGAAUUCCCCAGCCAGCUUUGCUGGGAGUUGAAGCCCAACAGGCUUAAAGUUGCCAAGGUUGGAGACCCCUGCAUUAGGCUCCUGAGUCACCCAAAUUGCAGUUCCAUUUUUAGCCAUAAGUGGGAACAGAUAAAAACUCUGAUGUAUUGCCCUAACAAAAACAAGAAACAAAAGGCCCUUUCCAUAUGCAUUCCUACAUAAUAGUUUUUCCAGAUUCACUCUCACCCAUAUGUGUGAUAGCCCCCACUACUCUUCAUUAAUGUAGAAUGUGGUCCUUGACUCCCCAAUUGUUGUCCAUUCUUUUCUUGACAAGUCUACUUCUCACUGGUGAAAACAAGUUUCUAAUUACACCGACUCUUUAAUUAAAAAACAAAACAAAACAAAACCACAGGUUAAAGAAAUUAAAGAAGUUGCCAUAUUUUACAUAUGCAUCACCCACUCAGCUCCAAAUGCCAAUGGGUAAUGCACUUUCUUUUACAGAUUCGAACAUUUGGAAUUUUUCAGAAUGUUUCAUCAAGGACUUUAUAAAGAGGAGUGCAUGAGUUCUGUUAAAUACAAAAGACUGAUUACCACUUUAAAAAAAAAACAAAAAAACCUUCUUGUUUUGGCAACUGUAGCCAGGACCAGCCUAUUCCACUCUUUCCCCACUCCCCAUUCUGUGUUCAUGCAAGGAACAGGUGAAACAUGCUAUGCACAGUCUGUUUUUUUGUUUUUGAACUGUAAAAGCUUAACAUUUUCCUCUCUCUCUCUCUCUCUCUUUUUUUUUUUUUGCCAAGAAUGGAAAAGGGAGGGGGCAUUCCUUUGGAAUGUGGCUUCUGUCUCCCAUGGUAGUUCAUUAUCCAUUCAGCAGAAGCAUGGAGGUGGGGGAAGCACCAGAUCUGUACUAUCCAAGAAGCGGGGGAAGAAGAAACAGCAGCUACAAUCUGAAUCACAGAUGGAAAAUAAAUAACAAAACUGAGGAGCAGAAAAGGGAGGAAAUGAUUUCCUCUACGUUAGGGGAAGCUUUUCAAACAGACAGAAAAGGAGGAUCAGGCAAGCAGUGAUGGAGAAUGAUGAUAUACUGUAAUGAGGGAUCAGUGGUGGAGAAUGAAAACUACCGCUUGGAGAGAAAUUCUUUCAAACUUGGACGGAGUCCUGGAGGAGAUUUGAUGCACCUGGAGGUUGCCCUUCGAGCUCCAGUAAACAGACUGUUUCCCUCCCUAGAUAAGAUCCAAGUCAAUUAGGUGUCUGCUGAUUUGAGAUUCUCUCAAAUCCACAUUGAAUUUGUGGACAAUGGCUGAACCUUUAUUCCAAUGUAAUUUAGAAAGAAGGGAGUUCAUGUGAUGCAUGUUUUCCUAGGAGGUAAACAAUAAGUGUUGCUUCACCUUCCAGACCCUUACCUGUAAAAGACAUACAAAGGGUGCCACAUCCACCGAGCUGCAAAUCCAAGCAUUGUUUUUAUUCAAAGAUAUGAAUUAUUCUGCAAAUAUGCCAAGGAAGAAAAUCUGCAAACUCAUUGCAGCUGCACACUGAACAUCCCAGUUUAAAGUGAAAUAAGUAAAACUAAGAAUUUUUCACUUAUUAUACUGAUUGUAGAAUUUGCAUUCUCCUUGUGUGUCUACAAAACAGGAGCCACUUUUCUCUGCCUCCUUUUCCAUGUUGUUUGUUGCUUGUCAAUCAAAUGUUUCAUGUAAAGGCCAUGUUCACUUGUUCAGCAGCCAGAACAAAGAAGAAACACAGCUAGUACGAUGCAUUUGAAUUAAUUAUUAUUGAGUUAUAUUUCUCUGCCUUUUACAAGAUGCUGGGUUCCCCCUACUAAAAUCCAUGCUACGAAUUGUUUGUUUUUAAAAUUACAAACAAUAAAUGAGUAGCUGUUAAGAUCCUGGAGGAAAAUUAUAUUUACAUUUUAAUCAGCUUCUUUGAGUCACUUUCCGUUCCCAUCAUUCAUUAGCAGGCAUAGGUGCCAAAAUGACUCUAAUGCCUUAUCUAUCAGUGAAAUAGCUUCUUUAUAUUGUGGGACACCUGAGAUUUAUUUAUGGUAUGAUGGGUGCUUAAAUCUAUUAUCACAAAAAACUCCAACAUAAUAUAUCAAGUUUCUGAACUCA